UAACCUGCCCAAGAGAUCGGGAUAACACCUGGAAACAGAUACUAAUACCGGAUAACAACAGAUGAUGCCUAUCAACUGUUUAAAAGAUGGUUCUGCUAUCACUCUUGGAUGGACCUGCGGUGCAUUAGCUAGUUGGUAGGGUAACGGCCUACCAAGGCGAUGAUGCAUAGCCGAGUUGAGAGACUGAUCGGCCACAUUGGGACUGAGACACAGCCCAAACUCCUACGGGAGGCAGCAGUA
This 240-nucleotide ribosomal RNA is filed under the name uncultured Lactobacillus sp. RNAcentral describes it as "partial 16S ribosomal RNA". It matches the Rfam family "Bacterial small subunit ribosomal RNA", at positions 122 to 355 of the family's 1533-position model. The record is from RNAcentral. Lineage: Bacteria; Bacillati; Bacillota; Bacilli; Lactobacillales; Lactobacillaceae.